GGGCCUGUAGUUUAACGGCAAAACACUACAUUCGCAUUGUAGAGACGGCAGUUCGAUUCUGCCUGGGUCCACAA
This 74-nucleotide transfer RNA is filed under the name Parcubacteria group bacterium. RNAcentral describes it as "tRNA-Ala". It matches the Rfam family "tRNA". From Rfam's summary of the family: Transfer RNA (tRNA) molecules are approximately 80 nucleotides in length. Their secondary structure includes four short double-helical elements and three loops (D, anti-codon, and T loops). Further hydrogen bonds mediate the characteristic L-shaped molecular structure. tRNAs have two regions of fundamental functional importance: the anti-codon, which is responsible for specific mRNA codon recognition, and the 3' end, to which the tRNAs corresponding amino acid is attached (by aminoacyl-tRNA synthetases). tRNAs cope with the degeneracy of the genetic code in two manners: having more than one tRNA (with a specific anti-codon) for a particular amino acid; and 'wobble' base-pairing, i.e. permitting non-standard base-pairing at the 3rd anti-codon position. The record is from RNAcentral.